RNAcentral lists this ribosomal RNA (500 nucleotides) under uncultured bacterium. RNAcentral describes it as "partial 16S ribosomal RNA". It matches the Rfam family "Bacterial small subunit ribosomal RNA", at positions 30 to 523 of the family's 1533-position model. The record is from RNAcentral.
AUUGAACGCUGGCGGAAUGCUUUACACAUGCAAGUCGAACGGCAGCACGGACUUCGGUCUGGUGGCGAAUGGCGAACGGGUGAGUAAUACAUCGGAACGUGCCCAGUCGUGGGGGAUAACGUAGCGAAAGCUACGCUAAUACCGCAUACGAUCUAAGGAUGAAAGCGGGGGACCGUAAGGCCUCGCGCGAUUGGAGCGGCCGAUGGCAGAUUAGGUAGUUGGUGGGGUAAAGGCUCACCAAGCCGACGAUCUGUAGCUGGUCUGAGAGGACGACCAGCCACACUGGGACUGAGACACGGCCCAGACUCCUACGGGAGGCAGCAGUGGGGAAUGUUGGACAAUGGGCGCAAGCCUGAUCCAGCCAUUCCGCGUGCAGGAUGGAGGCCCUCGGGUUGUAAACUGCUUUUGUACGGAACGAAAAGGCUCUUAUUAAUACUAGGAGUCCAUGACGGUACCGUAAGAAUAAGCACCGGCUAACUACGUGCCAGCCGCCGCAGUAA